This 566-nucleotide ribosomal RNA is filed under the name Comamonas testosteroni. RNAcentral describes it as "bacterial SSU rRNA". It matches the Rfam family "Bacterial small subunit ribosomal RNA", at positions 76 to 639 of the family's 1533-position model. Lineage: Bacteria; Pseudomonadati; Pseudomonadota; Betaproteobacteria; Burkholderiales; Comamonadaceae. The record is from RNAcentral.
GUCUUCGGAUGCUGACGAGUGGCGAACGGGUGAGUAAUACAUCGGAACGUGCCUAGUAGUGGGGGAUAACUACUCGAAAGAGUAGCUAAUACCGCAUGAGAUCUACGGAUGAAAGCAGGGGACCUUUGGGCCUUGUGCUACUAGAGCGGCUGAUGGCAGAUUAGGUAGUUGGUGGGGUAAAGGCUUACCAAGCCUGCGAUCUGUAGCUGGUCUGAGAGGACGACCAGCCACACUGGGACUGAGACACGGCCCAGACUCCUACGGGAGGCAGCAGUGGGGAAUUUUGGACAAUGGGCGAAAGCCUGAUCCAGCAAUGCCGCGUGCAGGAUGAAGGCCCUCGGGUUGUAAACUGCUUUUGUACGGAACGAAAAGCCUGGGGCUAAUAUCCCCGGGUCAUGACGGUACCGUAAGAAUAAGCACCGGCUAACUACGUGCCAGCAGCCGCGGUAAUACGUAGGGUGCAAGCGUUAAUCGGAAUUACUGGGCGUAAAGCGUGCGCAGGCGGUUUUGUAAGACAGUGGUGAAAUCCCCGGGCUCAACCUGGGAACUGCCAUUGUGACUGCAAG